This 497-nucleotide ribosomal RNA is filed under the name uncultured bacterium. RNAcentral describes it as "partial 16S ribosomal RNA". It matches the Rfam family "Bacterial small subunit ribosomal RNA", at positions 28 to 507 of the family's 1533-position model. The record is from RNAcentral.
GAUGAACGCUGGCGGCGUGCCUAAUACAUGCAAGUCGAGCGAACGGACGAGAAGCUUGCUUCUCUGAUGUUAGCGGCGGACGGGUGAGUAACACGUGGAUAACCUACCUAUAAGACUGGGAUAACUUCGGGAAACCGGAGCUAAUACCGGAUAAUAUUUUGAACCGCAUGGUUCAAAAGUGAAAGACGGUCUUGCUGUCACUUAUAGAUGGAUCCGCGCUGCAUUAGCUAGUUGGUAAGGUAACGGCUUACCAAGGCAACGAUUCAUAGCCGACCUGAGAGGGUGAUCGGCCACACUGGAACUGAGACACGGUCCAGACUCCUACGGGAGGCAGCAGUAGGGAAUCUUCCGCAAUGGGCGAAAGCCUGACGGAGCAACGCCGCGUGAGUGAUGAAGGUCUUCGUAUCGUAAAACUCUGUUAUUAGGGAAGAACAUAUGUGUAAGUAACUGUGCACAUCUUGACGGUACCUAAUCAGAAAGCCACGGCUAACUACGUG